AUGGUUUUGGUGUUAAUAAAUAUCUGUUCUUAUCAGUUUAACAUUUGAUACUUCCCCUAUCCGGGGACUACAUAUUACAUUGAUUUUUGGAUCACGGAGCUGGAGCUGGAGCUGGAGCCGGGGCUUGCUCGGUCCACUCCACGAAUCGGCCUGGUAUUGCAAUGUCUUCAGGAAUGGUGUGCUUCCC
This is a small nuclear RNA of Cyprinus carpio carpio, 187 nucleotides long. Its record names the gene U2. It matches the Rfam family "U2 spliceosomal RNA". Rfam says of the family: U2 is a small nuclear RNA (snRNA) component of the spliceosome (involved in pre-mRNA splicing). Complementary binding between U2 snRNA (in an area lying towards the 5' end but 3' to hairpin I) and the branchpoint sequence (BPS) of the intron results the bulging out of an unpaired adenosine, on the BPS, which initiates a nucleophilic attack at the intronic 5' splice site, thus starting the first of two transesterification reactions that mediate splicing. The record is from Ensembl. Lineage: Eukaryota; Metazoa; Chordata; Actinopteri; Cypriniformes; Cyprinidae.